Molecule: ribosomal RNA, 301 nt
Filed under: uncultured bacterium
Lineage: Bacteria
Description: partial 16S ribosomal RNA
Rfam family: Bacterial small subunit ribosomal RNA
Source: RNAcentral
CAGCCGCCACGGUAAUACAGAGGGUGCGAGCGUUAAUCGGAUUUACUGGGCGUAAAGCGUGCGUAGGCGGCUUUUUAAGUCGGAUGUGAAAUCCCUGAGCUUAACUUAGGAAUUGCAUUCGAUACUGGGAAGCUAGAGUAUGGGAGAGGAUGGUAGAAUUCCAGGUGUAGCGGUGAAAUGCGUAGAGAUCUGGAGGAAUACCGAUGGCGAAGGCAGCCAUCUGGCCUAAUACUGACGCUGAGGUACGAAAGCAUGGGGAGCAAACAGGAUUAGAUACCCCAGUAGUCCAUGUCUCUUAUAC